CAGUAGCCGCGGGAAUACGGAGGAUCCAAGCGUUAUCCGGAAUCAUUGGGUUUAAAGGGUCCGUAGGCGGUCUUGUAAGUCAGUGGUGAAAGCACAUCGCUCAACGGUGGAACGGCCAUUGAUACUGCAGGACUUGAAUUAUUGGGAAGUAACUAGAAUAUGUAGUGUAGCGGUGAAAUGCUUAGAGAUUACAUGGAAUACCAAUUGCGAAGGCAGGUUACUACCAAUUGAUUGACGCUGAUGGACGAAAGCGUGGGUAGCGAACAGGAUUAGAUACCCCCGUAGUCCCUGUCUCUUAUAU
Molecule: ribosomal RNA, 301 nt
Filed under: uncultured bacterium
Lineage: Bacteria
Description: partial 16S ribosomal RNA
Rfam family: Bacterial small subunit ribosomal RNA
Source: RNAcentral